Molecule: long non-coding RNA, 1325 nt
Filed under: Rattus norvegicus (Norway rat)
Lineage: Eukaryota; Metazoa; Chordata; Mammalia; Rodentia; Muridae
Description: long non-coding RNA NONRATT016078
Source: RNAcentral
UCAUUUUAGAUGACUAUGCAGAUAUGACUUUUCCAACGUGCACUCUGUGUCUUGUCUUAUGCUUGGACUCUUGAGAGCAGGACACAUUAAGCAAUACUGUAUCUUAGAAAAGAGGGCGCCACACGCUGUGUUGUCCUGCUCAUGGCUCUGCUGCGCUCAAUUUCCCACAAACUUGUAAUAUGCUACAAAUCCUGUUUUAGUUCCUCCUGUCCUUCCUUUGGCCCUUUCCCGGGAUGGAAUUCCCCAGGAGUCUUUGCACUUUUGUUCCCUGCCCUGAAAGAUCUCCAAGUCAGACUGGAGGCACUGGUGUCCAAUCUUAAGAGGGACAGAUUAGUUGCCUGUAAGUGACUUUAAUCCCAGCCCUGGGGAGCGCUUAUUUGUACAUUAAUACUCUGGCCUAAAAACUAAAUAUUUUAAAGCCUUUCACCUUCUGGAAGAGGGAAAGAGCGUGGACAAUUAUUGUAUUAGGUUGAAUUCUGUGAAAUGGCUGGUAUUUGACUGUUUUUGAUCUAUUAUAUAAAACAAGCAAUUUCACAGAGUUCAACCUAAAAUCUACAAAGGUAAUCUACAGCACUUGGAAUUUUCUCCUAUCUUUAUGUAUCAAAAGUGAAAGAAUUCAGGCGUGGAAGAGGUCUCCCAAGUCUAUCGUAGGUCUACAUUUCAAUCCACCAGUUGCCGUCCGCCAUAUUCUUGCCCCACCCCACCCCCAACCCAGCUCUGCAGGACGAAGUUGUUAGCUAGUGUACUGUUACUGGUGUGACUGGAUUCAGUAAGAGAAGGACCUUUGACAAGCUAUAAGUUACAUACAGCUUUCUGAAUGGAAUGUUCGUGAAACAGUGGAAAGAAUGUGCUGUUUGAAGACUCCUUACCAGGAACUACUCCCAACACUCCUGGCCCGCCAUCUUGAAUAAAACUCACUCCUCUCUCCUGAUCGCAGGUCAUUUCAAAUGACAUAAACUCCAAGGUUAUCUCAUUUUAUCAUUUAUGAGCCGUUAUUUCUAAAUCGGCACCAUCUCAGCUCCUGUCUCUGUUAUCUCCCACACCCUGACUGGAUUGAAAGCUUAACUCCAGCCUCGUUCCUAGCAACCCACGCAAACGUACUAAACUGAUAAAGCCUGAGGCGCACAGCGCACGCUCUUGUGGAUGCCUGACCUCAGCCUCUCCUGCUUCGUUCAUUUGUGCCAGCUCUCUCCUUAGUCUCAGCGUGGCGACAACACCUUCUGUGCAAAUGUCCUUUGUACAACUGAAGACUGUUAAAAAAAAAAAAUUCAGGUCUCACCUCCGUUUCUGAGAAGGCCGUAGCUAUUCAUGGAGAUGGGAAUUUG